RNAcentral lists this ribosomal RNA (442 nucleotides) under uncultured bacterium. RNAcentral's name for it is "partial 16S ribosomal RNA". It matches the Rfam family "Bacterial small subunit ribosomal RNA", at positions 338 to 795 of the family's 1533-position model. The record is from RNAcentral.
CCUACGGGCGGCAGCAGUAGGGAAUCUUUCACAAUGGGCGAAAGCCUGAUGGAGCGACGCCGCGUGCAGGAUGAAGGCCUUCGGGUCGUAAACUGCUUUUAUAAGCGAGAAAUAUGAUGGUAACUUAUGAAUAAGGAUCGGCUAACUACGUGCCAGCAGCCGCGGUCAUACGUAGGAUCCGAGCAUUAUCCGGAGUGACUGGGUGUAAAGAGUUGCGUAGGUGGGAUAAUAAGUAGCUAGUGAAAUCUGGUGGCUCAACCAUUCAGACUAUUAGCUAAACUGUUAAGCUCGAGAACGUUAGGGGUAACUGGAAUUUCUAGUGUAGGAGUGAAAUGCGUAGAUAUUAGAAGGAACACCAAUAGCGUAGGCAGGUUGCUGGGACGGUUCUGACACUGAGGCACGAAAGCGUAGGGAGCAAACGGGAUUAGAUACCCCAGUAGUC